This 253-nucleotide long non-coding RNA is filed under the name Gallus gallus (chicken). The record is from RNAcentral. Lineage: Eukaryota; Metazoa; Chordata; Aves; Galliformes; Phasianidae.
GCAGGAAGUGCAGGGAAUUGGAGCAAAGCACGACAUGAGACGGUAACGAUAAAAACUUACAUUUGGGAUCUCGUCACUGUGAGUUUUGGAAGGUGCAUUGAAUUUAUUUCUAGGGAAAUACAGAAGACUUAAAGGAAGGCUGCUCGGGUAGGUGGUGUUCAGAACACAUGAAGCCCAGACCUUGCAGGAUUUGGACCACAGGAGACAUGCAAGCUACUUGCAUUCAGAAGCAUAGGCAAAAGCUGUGGUGAUG